This 311-nucleotide ribosomal RNA is filed under the name uncultured dinoflagellate. RNAcentral's name for it is "SSU rRNA". It matches the Rfam family "Eukaryotic small subunit ribosomal RNA", at positions 557 to 874 of the family's 1831-position model. Lineage: Eukaryota; Dinophyceae. The record is from RNAcentral.
AAGUCUGGUGCCAGCAGCCGCGGUAAUUCCAGCUCCAAUAGCGUAUAUUAAAAUUGUUGCGGUUAAAACGCUCGUAGUUGGAUAUCUGCUAAGGGGUUCCGGUCCUUCCCAGUGAAGAAUACGCGGAACUCUUCUUGGCAUUUAUUCAGGGAAGGUGUUUGCACUUUGUUGUGUGUCACGUGAUCUGAAUUUUUACUUUGAGGAAAUGAGAGUGUUUCAAGCAGGCUUUCGCCGUGAAUAUGAUAGCAUGGAAUAAUAGCACAGGACCCCUUUCCAAAGCUGUUGGUUUUUGGAACGAGGUAAUCAGAAUA